UGCAGGGAAACAUCCUCUACUCCGACAGGCCACCCGGUUGAGAAGGUCACGGGGCCACAGAAGGGCUCCCCAUAAACAUCUGAGAGGGAUGAGCACCAUCUUAGUGCGCCACUCCUCGCCCUGGCCUCCUGGCCCCCUGGCCUCCUGUCUGCGCUGUACAGCAUUGGAAGAAUUUCCCAGAAUUUCAAGGAAUGAAAAUGUGAACAUUGGAAAUGGCCUGGCUUUUUAUCUCUGCCUGGGGAGAGAUCAUUUCAGGCUGCCAAGUUCACACUGAGCUAUCUGAGAGGAUUUUUUUUGCAGAAGAGAAUAACGGGAACCCAAGACUGGGGCACUAGGGGAUAAAUGGAAGGCAUGAACUUGUGUAAAACCUUUGAGCACGAAGGACUCUAUUCUGGGGACUAAAGCUUCAUCCUGUUUUGUUUUGUUUUUUCCUGAAACAGAAACUGCGUUGAACUAUUGAACUGGGCAAAAGCAUAUGACUGAACACAGGACUGCUGCACCCACAUUCUUGAUAAAAAUUGGACACUCUGCAAAAAAUAUUUUCCUAGUAACUGUCACAAUGUACUCAGAUAAUUUUGUACAUUGUAAAAUGUAAUUAUGUCUUCCAGUCAGAAUUUUUGGAAGACAACCGGUGCAAAUUUCUGGAGACUUCUGCAGUUUGCUAAUAAAGACCCUGGGUGUUUACUGCUCCUCA
This 694-nucleotide long non-coding RNA is filed under the name Felis catus (domestic cat). RNAcentral describes it as "lncRNA (ENSFCAG00000053490.1)". Lineage: Eukaryota; Metazoa; Chordata; Mammalia; Carnivora; Felidae. The record is from RNAcentral.